Molecule: long non-coding RNA, 3673 nt
Filed under: Medicago truncatula (barrel medic)
Lineage: Eukaryota; Viridiplantae; Streptophyta; Magnoliopsida; Fabales; Fabaceae
Description: long non-coding RNA (MTRU_LNC003348)
Source: RNAcentral
UUGGGAUUCAAAAGUUCACAAAGAAAACCGAUAUAAUAUCUGUGAUGAAUUCAGUAUUCUCAUCAGCCCAUCAUGGAGUAUGCUUUCUUUCUCUAUACCUGGACACGAAAAUAAAUAACGAGAUUCUUAGAUAUGUGUAUGUGUUUGUCUGUGCAAAUACUAAAGCUGAUUAAUAUCUAACAAAUUGCAGUGGAACUGGCAAACUAUACUAAUUGGAUCAACCUUUCUUGCUUUUCUUCUGUUUGCCAAGUAUAUUGUAAGCACUCUUAUUCUUUUUACUAAACAUUUCUUAGACAAUUUGUUAGGAUUGUUAAUUAUUUUCUAAUAAUGUUAUAUGUUGUCGAUCAGGGAAAGAAGGGCCAAAAAUUCUUCUGGGUUCCAGCAAUUGCUCCAUUGAUAUCUGUUGUUCUCUCCACCUUGUUUGUAUACAUAACACGUGCAGACAAGCAUGGCGUUGCAAUUGUAAGUAUAUAUAAUCCUACUCUCAUUGUGAACAUAGAAGCUUAUAAUUGUAUUCAAUAGUUGUAAAAGUACUAUACCUGUUUGAAUUAGCUUAUUUGAGGUUAUCUACUGGCAUAAGCACUUGUGAGACUGUCUGAGAGAGCUUAUAAAAACAAUUCAUGACAUGUUCAUAAACUUCUUUUAGCUUAUUUCCAUAAGUGUUCCAAGAUAGCUCAUGAAAACAGCUUUAUAACUUUUAUGAAAACAGUUUAAAUUUAUCUGUCUUUUCUUAUAGAACUAGCUCAUAUAUAAUAAAUGCUUAAUUAAGCUGUUUAUUGAAAGUAGUAAAUGUUUUUAUCUAUUGACGUGUGUAGGUAAAACACAUAGAGAAAGGGAUAAAUCCUUCCUCUGUGAAGGAAAUUUAUUUUACUGGUGAUUACCUUGCGAAAGGCGUUAGAAUCGGCAUUGUGGCUGGCAUGAUAGCUUUGACAGUAAGGAAACUUUGAGACUAUUAUCUUCAUUCAAAAAAUAUUUUACCAUUUUCGUGCGUUGUCAUUAUAGCCUGUUACAUUUUGGUUAUCAGGAAGCCAUAGCAAUAGGAAGAACAUUUGCUUCUAUGAAGGACUAUCAACUCGAUGGAAACAAAGAAAUGGUGGCAUUAGGAGCUAUGAAUGUUGUUGGUUCGAUGACUUCCUGCUAUGUAGCAACUGGUAAGAUUGAGAAAGUAUUAAAAGCAUAUCAGAUAAUGCAACAUAAACUUUGACGGGACCUUAAAAGAUCAAUUUUUUUUUAUAAUUUCACUAUGAACCAAAGUCGAGGGGCCUUAUGUGUAAAAAAAAUGAAACUGCAGGAGUACAAUAUAAUUUUCCCUGUUAAUUUUAUGAUAAAUUGCUUCAUAAUUAAUCAUUGCAAUUCAUUUAAGCGUGAUAUACUUUCUUUCUAUUGUCAGGUUCCUUCUCUCGGUCAGCAGUAAAUUUCAUGGCUGGUUGUGAAACUGCGGUCUCUAAUAUUGUCAUGUCUGUUGUCGUGUUCUUAACCCUGCAAUUCAUCACACCACUUUUCAAAUACACUCCAAAUGCAAUUCUUGCCUCAAUCAUCAUUUGUGCAGUCAUCAACCUUGUUGACUAUAAGGCAGCAAUUUUGAUAUGGAAAAUUGAUAAAUUUGACUUUGUUGCUUGCAUGGGAGCAUUUUUCGGGGUUGUUUUUGCCUCGGUUGAGAUAGGACUUUUGAUUGCUGUAAGUACCAAAGAUUCAGUUAUCUUAUUAUGCUCUAAAAUAAUUUAAAUUUUAGUUUCUGAUUGAUUACUAGUAUUAAUUUUGUUAUUAUUGUUGCAUGUUGUGGCAGGUUUCUAUAUCCUUUGCAAAGAUCCUAUUGCAAGUCACAAGGCCCCGAACGGCUAUUCUAGGGAAGAUCCCUAGGACAACUGUUUAUAGAAACAUCCAGCAAUAUCCAGAAGCCACAAGGGUUCCCGGUGUAUUGAUUAUAAGAGUUGAUUCUGCAAUAUAUUUUUCUAACUCCAAUUAUGUUAAAGAAAGGUAAUAAAGUUUUCGCUUUUUGUUUGUAAAUUUUUUUAAUUGAAUUGAAAGGAAAUAAUACAAUCUGUAUAGUGGUCUAGGAAGCUAUAUAUCUUUUUUAGCAAUCAUAUUAUUAACUAUGCCGUAAAGACAGAAGCUGUAAAUAGUUCGGAAAAUGACAGGAGUCACCAGUGUAUCAGAGGAUUACAUCCAUAAUGUAAGAAGUUUCAAUGGUGGUUACAUCCAAUAAUCCCAAAUAUCUUAUAAGCAGUGUAGUGAGCCUCACAUUAGAUAGUGAUGCGACGUGAAUGGUGGUUAGGUUCAAACACAGAAUUCUAAUAUAGUAUCAGAGUCUAUCUUAAAUUUAUUAUGCCGCCAUUAUCGAGUCAUCUAGGUCACACUCCAAAUGUGCAGUUCUAGACGUGAAAUAGGUGUUUUGAGAGUUUCACAUUGAAUAGUUUUACAGUCUGAAUAGUGAUUAAUAGUUCGGGGAAACAUUCACCUAAUGAGUUUCAUCAUAUGGUUUAGUAAUAUUUAAAAAAGGCAUGCUAUUUGGAAUUAAAUCUGAUAGUAAUAGGUGAAGGUUAGUCUAAAAACGAAAGAAACAUGUUCAAAGACCAAAAAUUGCAGGAUGAACCAAACGAUGGUUAGGAUAUCUAAUCGAGUUACACAUAUAUUAUAAAAUGAUAAUUUUUCCUUUCUUUUUGGCAAUAAUUAAACCUAUUUAUGAUGCCUAAUUGCAGGAUAUUAAGAUGGCUGAUGGAUGAAGAAGAACGAGUGAAUAGAGACUAUCAAACACGAAUUCAAUUUUUGAUAGUUGAAAUGUCACGUGAGUCUAUAUUUUUGCUUCAUCCUCAACUCAGCUAGGCACAUAAUUAUGAAUAUGCUUAGCCUUAAAUAUGUGUUUAAUUUGUUGCAGCCGUUACUGAUAUUGAUACCAGUGGCAUCCAUGCCCUGGAAGAGUUAUAUAGAAGUCUUCAAAAGAGAGAAGUUCAGGUAACAAAAGAUGAAUAAAUAAAUUAUUUUCAUAUAAUGCAUGUUUUGAUUGAUGCCAGUGGCAUGUUUUGAUUCAUGUUUUGGAAUAUGCAUGUUAUGAAAGUAAGUUGAAAACAUCGUCUUAAUGCAUGUUUUGAUUCGCGGUGAGUUUUGCAGAAUCUUAGCGGCUUGGCUCACCGUGAUUUUGUCCUACCCACCGUGAUUCUAAACAUGCACUUAUAGACACAUUAAUGUCAUAUAUUGUUUUCAUAAGAUCUCGCAAAUAGUGUCGCAAUUGCUUAUAUCAUUGUCGAUAGAUAAAUUAAAUUAAUUCAAUUCAAAUUCAAAAUGCCCUAUAUAUAUUUGUAUGUUAACAACAUUUCUAAACAAUAUAAUAUAAGGUAACAAUUAUAGAUAUCUUAACUAAAAAGGUACCUCUUUCUUGAGCAGCUUGUUCUUGCAAAUCCUGGUCCACUAGUGAUAGACAAACUCCACACAUCCAACUUUGCAAACUUUCUUGGUGAAGACAAGAUCUUCCUAACUGUUGCAGAGGCUGUUGCAUACUGUUCUCCAAAGCUAGCUGAAGACCCUUGAAUGAAAUAGUGUGGAAAAUUUUGAUUUUACCAUUCUUAGUAUAUAGGAAAAUGUCAUUAAGAAAUGAAGUAAGGUUAGUGAGAAGAGACAUGUUUGGCUUUCAGCUGGGUUAGCUAUGAGGUUGUUACAAAGUGGCCUUUUUUGUUGG